UGGGGAAUUUUGGACAAUGGGCGCAAGCCUGAUCCAGCAAUGCCGCGUGAGUGAAGAAGGCCUUCGGGUUGUAAAGCUCUUUUGUCAGGGAAGAAACGGUCUUGGUUAAUACCUGGGGCUAAUGACGGUACCUGAAGAAUAAGCACCGGCUAACUACGUGCCAGCAGCCGCGGUAAUACGUAGGGUGCAAGCGUUAAUCGGAAUUACUGGGCGUAAAGCGUGCGCAGGCGGUUAUACAAGACAGAUGUGAAAUCCCCGGGCUCAACCUGGGAAUUGCAUUUGUGACUGUAUGGCUAGAGUGUGUCAGAGGGGGGUAGAAUUCCACGUGUAGCAGUGAAAUGCGUAGAUAUGUGGAGGAAUACCGAUGGCGAAGGCAGCCCCCUGGGAUAACACUGACGCUCAUGCACGAAAGCGUGGGGAGCAAACA
This 427-nucleotide ribosomal RNA is filed under the name uncultured Herbaspirillum sp. Its description in RNAcentral is "bacterial SSU rRNA". It matches the Rfam family "Bacterial small subunit ribosomal RNA", at positions 355 to 774 of the family's 1533-position model. Lineage: Bacteria; Pseudomonadati; Pseudomonadota; Betaproteobacteria; Burkholderiales; Oxalobacteraceae. The record is from RNAcentral.